CAGAAUUGGUGCAACCACUUUGGGGAAAGGUUUGGCAGUGCAUGCUAAAGUUGAAAAUGUAAUACCCUACAACCUAGCAACUCUACUCCUAGGUUCAUGACUUUUAGAAAUUUGUGUACAGAUUUACAGAACCAGAUCACAUAAACAAAAAUGUUAAUAUCAGCAUGUUUUGUUGUAGACAAAAAGUAGAGGUAAUUCAGGUGCCCAUCAAAGGGAGAAUGAGCAAAUAAAUUGUUGUUUGUUCUCACCAUACACAUGAGGAAAAAAAUGUUUCAUAAUUUACAGAAAAUAGGGAAAAAGAUGUCAGUCUGAAGGAGCUUGGUUAAUAUGGACCUUGAACAAAAUAGGAUUCUCAGAGGAUUGUUACAUUGGCAAGGCAAAUCCAAAUAUUGUUUAGAAGAGAAAAUGACGGACUUCAAGGACUCUACUUGGCUGGCCUUAAUGACACUAUGUUAGAAACACUUAUUAGACCCCGGUCUAAUAAUAUUUGUAUUUGACCCUGGUCAAAUAAUAAUAUUUGAAUACCUGGUUCAAAUAAGCAUUCUUUCUUAUAAGUCAAAUUUACAUACAACAGGAAUGGUAGCAAAUUCAACUGUGAUUUUUACAAAACCACAUGCGUUGUGAUUUUAUUCUAGCCAUGAAAAAAAUGUGUGCCCUCCUUAGUAAAUAACACUACUAUACAUUCCAGAAAAUGCCAAAGUAUCAAACACCAGAUUGAGAAUUGAGACCUAUGCUGUUAUGCUGUUGUGUUGGUAGCUUACUAAGAUAACUAGAAACAAAGUUACAUGAGGAAUUAUAAUUAUACUGGGAAUAAUAGCUUUGUGUGUAUGUGACAAUAACUAAUGUAUACGUGUAUGUGUGUGUGUGUGUGUGUGUGUGUGUGUGCAUUUUGUUAGCCAGGCUGGUCUUGAACUCCUGACCUCAAGUCAUCUGCCUGCCUCAGCCUCUCAAAGCACUGGGAUUACAGGCAUGAGCCGUCGCACCCCACCUUGAUAAUUCCUCUUGAAGCGCUACUGGCUACACUCCUGUCAGAUGUCUUCUGAUGUACCUGUGCAAGAAUUUCUCCUGGGUAUAUAUCCAAGAGUCGAAUAUCUGGGUAUGUGAUUGUUCAAUAACACAAGAUAAUGACAAAUUGUUUUUCCAGAGUGGAUAUUCAAUUUAUACACCAACCAUUAAUGUAUAAGAGAUCUCACUGACCAAUAUUCUCUUUAGAAAGUUGGCCAGGCAUGGUGGCUCUUUCCUGAAAUCCCAGCACUCUGGGAGGCUGAGGUGGGAGGAUUGCUUGAGCCCAGGAGUUCAAGACCAGCCUAGGCAACAUAUCAAGAC
RNAcentral lists this long non-coding RNA (1326 nucleotides) under Homo sapiens (human). RNAcentral's name for it is "HSALNT0006039". The record is from RNAcentral. Lineage: Eukaryota; Metazoa; Chordata; Mammalia; Primates; Hominidae.